This 346-nucleotide ribosomal RNA is filed under the name uncultured bacterium. RNAcentral describes it as "bacterial SSU rRNA". It matches the Rfam family "Bacterial small subunit ribosomal RNA", at positions 350 to 687 of the family's 1533-position model. The record is from RNAcentral.
AGCAGUAGGGAAUCUUCGGCAAUGGGAGAAAUCCUGACCGAGCAAUGCCGCGUGAAGGAAGAAGGUUUUCGGAUUGUAAACUUCUGUUGUAUAGGAAGAAUGGCAGAUGUAGUGGAAAGACAUUUGAAUGACGGUACUAUACUAGAAAGCCACGGCUAACUACGUGCCAGCAGCCGCGGUAAUACGUAGGUGGCAAGCGUUAUCCGGAAUUAUUGGGCGUAAAGGGUGCGCAGGCGGUCAUUUAAGUCUGUGGUGAAAGCGUGGGGCUCAACCCCAUACAGCCAUAGAUACUGGAUGACUGGAGUGCAGGAGAGGGCAGUGGAAUUCCAUGUGUAGACGGUGAAAU